This is a long non-coding RNA of Myodes glareolus (Bank vole), 1175 nucleotides long. RefSeq lists it as uncharacterized. The record is from RefSeq and is a predicted model, not a curated record. NCBI's taxonomy places the organism in Eukaryota, Metazoa, Chordata, Mammalia, Rodentia, Cricetidae.
CACGGGGGGACUGCAGCUCCCAGUGAUCUCAUUAGUGUUUUGCCGGUCCCCAGCAGACGGGGUGUCUUUCUGGAUCUGAUCCUCUUGCAUUACAAGUGUGGUAAGGGCUGAGGCAGUGCUGCGGGACAUGGAGGAAUCGGUGCUCUCUUUGACCACAGAGAAAAGGGAGGGAAAAGGGGUGAGCUGCCCUGGAUCGUUGGAGAUUGCCAAGAUGCCCCUGAGUCCAGAACCCUCCACUGCACAGGGCUCUCCUGUGCGUGACACUGGUCGCUGAUUCUGGACUUCGCCUCUUUUCCUUCUGUUUUUGUCUUCUCCGCGGUGACAGGAGUUGCCAACAGUUCUCUAAUUGGACUUAAGACUCACUGAACAAGAGAGAAACCAUGUCUGAUACUGGAAACCUAACUACUUGGUGCUUGUAAAAUCACAGUUAUUGGGGAGAAUCUUUAGCCUCUCCUCUGAAUCAGCAUAAUUCCUGACAGCACCCAAUAAACACGAUACCCACAGACAAGUGUGGUCCUCACCUCUCAUCAAAGAAACUUCUCUUUGCACGAGACAGAGAUCACUACAGAAAACCACAACAAUCAAAAUGCAGAGUGGUGGAUCCCAGCCCAGUGCCUACAUCUACAAAACACUCCCACACCUAAGGAUCAGAGGGAGCGGAAAGACUGUAGGACGGAGCCAGAGGACCAGGGAGUUUGCUGUGGGAUGGAGUCUCCUAAGAAUGGCAGAAGCUACACCCAUAAUGUCUCACCAACAUGACUGCAGAAACGUGAGCUGAAUGAGGGCAACACCAAUGGGCGUACCAAAGGGGACAGGGCAAAGCCCAUGAGGUCUCCACCCUAGGCAGCUAUAGAGGAAGGUGGGAGAGGUGGUCUUCCCCAGCGAAGAGUACAGCCAUUGGCUGUCCAGUGCCAAGUGGUCAGCCUUGAAAGCAUACUUACAAGUGACACAUAUGGACUAAACAGGCAAUAUAUACACACAAAGAUUCAUACGCAUAUAAUAGCUAUGAAUGAAAAUUGGCCCUGCAUUUGAAUGCAAGUAAGGCAGUGUACAUGGGAGGGUUUGGAGGGAGGAAAGGGAAGGGAGAGUGUGGUAAUUAUACUAUAAACUCAAAAAUUAAAAGAAAGUUAAACAUUUAAUUAGUUUCAAACUCCCUGUUGUAACAUGAGGCCGAC